GGGGCGUUAGCUCAGUUGGGAGAGCGCCUGCUUUGCAAGCAGGAGGUCAUCGGUUCGAUCCCGAUACGCUCCA
RNAcentral lists this transfer RNA (73 nucleotides) under bacterium. Its description in RNAcentral is "tRNA-Ala". It matches the Rfam family "tRNA". From Rfam's summary of the family: Transfer RNA (tRNA) molecules are approximately 80 nucleotides in length. Their secondary structure includes four short double-helical elements and three loops (D, anti-codon, and T loops). The record is from RNAcentral. RNAcentral also lists the same sequence under 5 other names.